This 788-nucleotide long non-coding RNA is filed under the name Salvia miltiorrhiza (redroot sage). RNAcentral's name for it is "long non-coding RNA (SMIL_LNC000812)". The record is from RNAcentral. Lineage: Eukaryota; Viridiplantae; Streptophyta; Magnoliopsida; Lamiales; Lamiaceae.
GCUUAAUAAGUUUGAGAAUUGAUUAUAAAAGUAAUUGCUUUAGGAGAUUCACUGCUAGCGGAGAACUGGGUCUGAUCGUCUUGUUUGGUCUUCUCGCUGUGAUGUCCCUUGCUUUUGUUCUUCCCUUCAUCUGUGAUGGUUGGAUCUUUUGCUCCUGGGUUUGGUUGGUGCUUGUAUUGAGGUUGUGCCCCUCUGGAGUUCAACCUGUACUGAAGUUUGUUUGGUGGCCAGUUUGUCUUGUUUGGUUGGGUCUUCCCUCGAUGGGCUGGGGCUCGUUUUGUGGUGUUGUCCCCUCUUUUUCCUUUUCUGUGUUUGUUUGCUCUUUUUUGCUGUUUCGGUUUCCUCUUCCGUAGGUUGUUGGUUUUUGGCAGAUCUGCGCUUUUUCCCGUUUGCGCUGAUGCGGCGUCUCCAGUGGUUCCGGAGGUGACCAGAGCAGGGAAGAUUCAUGAUGCGUUCGGUGGGCAUCCUGUGCUGCACGCUCGGCUUGGUCCGGCCACUGCAGAUUUCUCUGGAUGGCCAGUGCUGCCCCCUCGGGUUUUGUUGUUGGCUCUUUUGUGCUUGAGCUGUGUUUCUUCCGGCUUAGGGGGACGAGUCGCCGAUGGGUUUUGGUUUGGCCGUAAUCUGUGGCGGCGAAUUUCCCGUCCCCCUGAACUGUGGUUUUGUUUUUUGGUUUUUCGUUAGGUCGUGUUGCGCCUUACAUUGGUCCCUUGCUGUACUGCUUUUCGUUACACCGGUUUUGUAACAACUUUUCUUUCUUUCUUUUCAAUAAAAUUUUCAUUUCAGCAGCA